AACGAACGCUGGCGGCAGGCCUAACACAUGCGAGUCGAGCGAGGACUUCGGUUCUAGCGGCGGACGGGUGAGUAACGCGUGGGAAUGUUCCCUUCUCUACGGAAUAGCCCUGGGAAACUGGGAGUAAUACCGUAUACGCCCUAUUGGGGAAAGAUUUAUCGGAGAAGGAUCAGCCCGCGUUGGAUUAGGUAGUUGGUGGGGUAAUGGCCUACCAAGCCGACGAUCCAUAGCUGGUUUGAGAGGAUGAUCAGCCACACUGGGACUGAGACACGGCCCAGACUCCUACGGGAGGCGGCAGUGGGGAAUCUUAGACAAUGGGGGCAACCCUGAUCUAGCCAUGCCGCGUGAGUGAUGAAGGCCUUAGGGUUGUAAAGCUCUUUCAGCUGGGAAGAUAAUGACGGUACCAGCAGAAGAAGCCCCGGCUAACUCCGUG
Molecule: ribosomal RNA, 433 nt
Filed under: uncultured bacterium
Lineage: Bacteria
Description: partial 16S ribosomal RNA
Rfam family: Bacterial small subunit ribosomal RNA
Source: RNAcentral